UACGAAGGGGGCUAGCGUUGCUCGGAAUCACUGGGCGUAAAGCGCACGUAGGCGGCUUUCUAAGUCAGGGGUGAAAUCCUGGAGCUCAACUCCAGAACUGCCUUUGAUACUGGAAAGCUCGAGUCCGGGAGAGGUGAGUGGAACUCCGAGUGUAGAGGUGAAAUUCGUAGAUAUUCGGAAGAACACCAGUGGCGAAGGCGGCUCACUGGCCCGGUACUGACGCUGAGGUGCGAAAGCGUGGGGAGCGAACAGG
RNAcentral lists this ribosomal RNA (253 nucleotides) under uncultured bacterium. RNAcentral's name for it is "partial 16S ribosomal RNA". It matches the Rfam family "Bacterial small subunit ribosomal RNA", at positions 524 to 776 of the family's 1533-position model. The record is from RNAcentral.